Molecule: ribosomal RNA, 447 nt
Filed under: uncultured bacterium
Lineage: Bacteria
Description: bacterial SSU rRNA
Rfam family: Bacterial small subunit ribosomal RNA
Source: RNAcentral
GUAGGGAGUAUUCGGCAAUGGGGGAAACCCUGACCGAGCAACGCCGCGUGCGCGAUGAAGCCCUUCGGGGCGUAAAGCGCUGUGGCGGGAGGGGAAACUCUCCGGGAGCAAAUGCCCGGAGACCGACCGUCCCGCUAGAAAGCAACUGCUAACUACGUGCCAGCAGCAGCGGUAAUACGUAGGUUGCAAGCGUUAUCCGGAAUUAUUGGGCGUAAAGAGUGAGCAGGCGGCCUGCCAAGCACGGGGUCAAAUGACGGGGCUCAACCCCGUCCCGUCCCGUGAACUGGCUGGCUGGAGUCCUGGAGAGGCAAGCGGAACUCCACAUGUAGCGGUGAAAUGCGCAGAUAUGUGGAAGAACACCGGCGGCGAAGGCGGCUUGCUAGACAGCGACUGACGCUCAGUCACGAAAGCGUGGGGAGCAAAUAGGCUUAGAAACCCUAGUAGUCC